RNAcentral lists this small nuclear RNA (325 nucleotides) under Meriones unguiculatus (Mongolian gerbil). RNAcentral's name for it is "7SK RNA (ENSMUGG00000000544.1)". It matches the Rfam family "7SK RNA", at positions 1 to 287 of the family's 331-position model. From Rfam's summary of the family: 7SK was discovered as an abundant small nuclear RNA in the mid-70s but a possible function has only recently been suggested. Two independent studies have found that 7SK RNA binds the CDK9/cyclin T complex (known as elongation factor P-TEFb). Lineage: Eukaryota; Metazoa; Chordata; Mammalia; Rodentia; Muridae. The record is from RNAcentral.
GAAUUUGAGGGUGAUUUGGCUACAACAUCCACCACCCUAUUGAUCACAGUCAUUGAUUAGGCUUCUCUGGCUGGCUAGGCAGGUGACCCCUUACUCCUUCACGAUUUUAUAUGUGUCCCUCUUUCAUGGAUGGUCUCAGACCAAAUGCAGGCAAAGCAAUCUUUAGUCCAGGACACACAAGCAGUCGUGCUCAUCUCUUGAACCCCUAAACGAACUCUCAAGAAAGCCCAGCCUGUAGCAUCUCAGAUGCCACGGGACUUUGGACUUUUAAAAACACUGAGAAAAGCUUCAAGGCUAGAGAGAUCAGUUGAGUGUUUGACUUGAA